Molecule: ribosomal RNA, 253 nt
Filed under: uncultured bacterium
Lineage: Bacteria
Description: partial 16S ribosomal RNA
Rfam family: Bacterial small subunit ribosomal RNA
Source: RNAcentral
UACGAAGGGUGCAAACGUUGCUCGGAAUUACUGGGCGUAAAGCGCACGUAGGCGGCUUUGUAAGUUAGAGGUGAAAGCCCAGGGCUCAACCCUGGAAUUGCCUUUAAGACUGCAUCGCUAGAAUUGUGGAGAGGUAAGUGGAAUUCCGAGUGUAGAGGUGAAAUUCGUAGAUAUUCGGAAGAACACCAGUGGCGAAGGCGACUUACUGGACACAUAUUGACGCUGAGGUGCGAAAGCGUGGGGAGCAAACAGG